Zalophus californianus (California sea lion) is the source of this 416-nucleotide long non-coding RNA. RefSeq lists it as uncharacterized. NCBI's taxonomy places the organism in Eukaryota, Metazoa, Chordata, Mammalia, Carnivora, Otariidae. The transcript has 3 exons. The record is from RefSeq and is a predicted model, not a curated record.
UGUGUUCUAAUAUUUGGUCUUUCUCAGUUCCUGACACUGAGUUCCUAAAUCCCUUGGAAUUUCUGGAGUGAUAGGAGACUCUUUUGUUCUAAUGAGAUGGGGAAGCCAAGGCACAGAGACAAAGUAACUUGUUCUGCUUUGAGGCUAAGCCAGGACUGGCCCUAGAAUGGAUGGAUGCCUUAGCCACUUUGCUACAGACCUUCUUAGAUUGAACCUAUAGUGAUCCUCCAAGCCAUCUUCUCUCCUUUGGGGAUAAUGCUGUGGCAAAAUACUGUGGAUCCUGGACUUGGAAAUGGACAAGCACUCACUAUGCGCCCGUGCUGUGUAGAAGAUACAACAUCACGAUCCUGCCCUAUUGAAAGCUUAGUCUAUAUCCAGCUGAGAUCAGGGCUCUGUAACCUUGAUUUUAAGAUGAA